GACGUAGGAUGCAAGCGUUGUCCGGAUUUAUUGGGCGUAAAGAGUUCGUAGGCGGAUCUUUAAGUCAGGGGUGAAAUCCCAAGGCUCAACCUUGGAACUGCCUUUGAUACUGGGGAUCUCGAGUCCGGAAGAGGUGAGUGGAACUGCGAGUGUAGAGGUGAAAUUCGUAGAUAUUCGCAAGAACACCAGUGGCGAAGGCGGCUCACUGGUCCGGUACUGACGCUGAGGUGCGAAAGCGUGGGGAGCAAACAGG
Molecule: ribosomal RNA, 253 nt
Filed under: uncultured bacterium
Lineage: Bacteria
Description: partial 16S ribosomal RNA
Rfam family: Bacterial small subunit ribosomal RNA
Source: RNAcentral